UGGGGAAUAUUGGACAAUGGGCGAAAGCCUGAUCCAGCCAUGCCGCGUGUGUGAAGAAGGUCUUCGGAUUGUAAAGCACUUUAAGUUGGGAGGAAGGGCAUUAACCUAAUACGUUAGUGUUUUGACGUUACCGACAGAAUAAGCACCGGCUAACUCUGUGCCAGCAGCCGCGGUAAUACAGAGGGUGCAAGCGUUAAUCGGAAUUACUGGGCGUAAAGCGCGCGUAGGUGGUUUGUUAAGUUGGAUGUGAAAUCCCCGGGCUCAACCUGGGAACUGCAUUCAAAACUGACUGACUAGAGUAUGGUAGAGGGUGGUGGAAUUUCCUGUGUAGCGGUGAAAUGCGUAGAUAUAGGAAGGGACACCAGUGGCGAAGGCGACCACCUGGACUAAUACUGACACUGAGGUGCGAAAGCGUGGGGAGCAAACA
Molecule: ribosomal RNA, 427 nt
Filed under: uncultured bacterium
Lineage: Bacteria
Description: partial 16S ribosomal RNA
Rfam family: Bacterial small subunit ribosomal RNA
Source: RNAcentral